CACGUAGGCGGCCUGGUAAGUCAGAUGUGAAAGCCCGGGGCUUAACCCCGGAAGUGCAUUUGAUACUGUCAGGCUUGAGUAUGGGAGAGGGAAGUGGAAUUCCUGGUGUAGAGGUGAAAUUCGUAGAUAUCAGGAGGAACACCGGUGGCGAAGGCGACUUCCUGGACCAAUACUGACGCUGAGGUGCGAAGGCGUGGGUAGCAGACAGGAUUAGAUACCCUGGUAGUCC
This 229-nucleotide ribosomal RNA is filed under the name uncultured bacterium. Its description in RNAcentral is "partial 16S ribosomal RNA". It matches the Rfam family "Bacterial small subunit ribosomal RNA", at positions 568 to 796 of the family's 1533-position model. The record is from RNAcentral.